Molecule: ribosomal RNA, 170 nt
Filed under: uncultured bacterium
Lineage: Bacteria
Description: partial 16S ribosomal RNA
Rfam family: Bacterial small subunit ribosomal RNA
Source: RNAcentral
CCUACGGGAGGCAGCAGUGGGGAAUAUUGGACAAUGGGCGCAAGCCUGAUCCAGCCAUGCCGCGUGUGUGAAGAAGGCCUUUUGGUUGUAAAGCACUUUAAGCGAGGAGGAGGCUACUUGGAUUAAUACUCUARGAUAGUGGACGUUACUCGCAGAAUAAGCACCGGCUA